Molecule: ribosomal RNA, 439 nt
Filed under: uncultured bacterium
Lineage: Bacteria
Description: partial 16S ribosomal RNA
Rfam family: Bacterial small subunit ribosomal RNA
Source: RNAcentral
CUACGGGAGGCAGCAGUGAGGAAUAUUGCACAAUGGGGGGAACCCUGAUGCAGCAACGUCGCGUGGAGGACGACGCAUUUCGGUGUGUAAACUCCUUUUAUAUGUCAAGAAAAUGACGGUAGCAUAUGAAUAAGCACCGGCUAACUCCGUGCCAGCAGCCGCGGUAAUACGGAGGGUGCAAGCGUUACUCGGAAUCACUGGGCGUAAAGGACGCGUAGGCGGGCUUGUAAGUCAGGUGUGAAAUCCUACAGCUUAACUGUAGAACUGCACUUGAAACUACGAGCCUAGAGUAUGGGAGGGGCAGAUGGAAUUAGUGGUGUAGGGGUAAAAUCCGUAGAUAUCACUAGGAAUACCUAAAGCGAAGGCGAUCUGCUGGAACAUAACUGACGCUAAGGCGUGAAAGCGUGGGGAGCAAACAGGAUUAGAUACCCCCGUAGUC